RNAcentral lists this long non-coding RNA (779 nucleotides) under Phoenix dactylifera (date palm). Its description in RNAcentral is "long non-coding RNA (PDAC_LNC012048)". The record is from RNAcentral. Lineage: Eukaryota; Viridiplantae; Streptophyta; Magnoliopsida; Arecales; Arecaceae.
GGGAUAAUAGUGAAUUAGAUAGGAAUGAUUCAUCAGGACUCAAGGUUGCUACUAGACUUAGCAACGUAAUGUUGAACCUAAUCCUUAGAAGUGCAGGCCAUGUGUGUUGUGAAAUUCCAAAGUAAAAAAUUAUCUUACAACUCACUAAAAGAAUUUUUAAUAAAAAGAACUCAAAUUGACUUACUCCUGACUAGUUAUUGGGCUUUUUAGAUUUUAUAUACUUUGUGUGUUUAUCAUUUCAGCACUAAAGCAUAGAAAUUAGGUUUUUUCCUUUUUUUUUGAAUCAAAAUACUUAUUUAAAAAUAGAAAAUGUGAAAAAUAGCUUCAAAAAUUCGAAUCCUAUACCCCCCAACCUAGAUCAGACAUUGUCCUCAAUGUUUAUUUUUUUUUAAUAUUAUAUUAUUAUAAUUUUUUUUUCGUUAUUUUAUUUUGGACGAAAAUAUUAUGCAUAUGGAAGAUAGAAGCAUUGUACCUUAGUUGCAUCAGUAAUAUGAGGACAUCUGAAAAAAAUGCGACAAGAAAAUGUGCAAAAAUAACUUAUGAAAAUUGGGUUGCCUCCCAACAAGCGCUAAGUUUAACGUCUUCAGCCAGACGCAGUACAUCUUUAUCAAAUCAUACCGGGUUCAUGCCGAGUUCUCCAAGGAAGAAAAUUCGUGGAAAACUGAUUGUCGGGCACAGAGUUGACUGCUUCUAUGGUCUUUUCUAUAGUAACGUCAAAAUGGGUCAAGCAUGUUUUCAGAGGUUCAUCUGCCAAAAUAUAGGGAAGGGCUUCUUCUAAA